GUUCAUUUAGCUCAAAUUGUAGAGCAUUGUACUAGCAACAAAAAGGUUGUGGGCUCAAUUCCCAGAAAAAACA
RNAcentral lists this transfer RNA (73 nucleotides) under Danio rerio (zebrafish). It matches the Rfam family "tRNA". From Rfam's summary of the family: Transfer RNA (tRNA) molecules are approximately 80 nucleotides in length. Their secondary structure includes four short double-helical elements and three loops (D, anti-codon, and T loops). Further hydrogen bonds mediate the characteristic L-shaped molecular structure. tRNAs have two regions of fundamental functional importance: the anti-codon, which is responsible for specific mRNA codon recognition, and the 3' end, to which the tRNAs corresponding amino acid is attached (by aminoacyl-tRNA synthetases). tRNAs cope with the degeneracy of the genetic code in two manners: having more than one tRNA (with a specific anti-codon) for a particular amino acid; and 'wobble' base-pairing, i.e. permitting non-standard base-pairing at the 3rd anti-codon position. The record is from Rfam by way of RNAcentral. Lineage: Eukaryota; Metazoa; Chordata; Actinopteri; Cypriniformes; Danionidae.